RNAcentral lists this long non-coding RNA (390 nucleotides) under Setaria viridis. RNAcentral's name for it is "long non-coding RNA (SVIR_LNC010748)". The record is from RNAcentral. Lineage: Eukaryota; Viridiplantae; Streptophyta; Magnoliopsida; Poales; Poaceae.
ACAUUCAUCUAAACAAAGUCCUGAACUUUCAUUAUCUUCAUGAAGUAAGGUGUGCUGUGAUAUAAAACCCGGGGUUGAUUUUGAUGGUGAUUGUGUACACAUCUAAGGUUUUACUAUUUAGACUUCAUAAAGAAAGGUGGGGUCACACUAGGGUUGCUCAAGGUUCAUUUGGAAAGUUAUCCUGUUUCUGAAUGUUUUUCUGUACCUCUUCCAAUAUCUCCCACAUUACCCUCACUAUUGUCUAAUGGUUUUUAUUCAUUUCCUUUUUGGGUUUAACUUCCAUAAAUGUUUCUGGUAAAUUCUGAUAAGAUAUGGUUCUGGAAAUUUUACAAAGGCUUCCUAAUCACAUCAGUGAGCUACUGUAAAAUUUUGGGAUGCAUUGGACUUCUA